RNAcentral lists this ribosomal RNA (200 nucleotides) under uncultured bacterium. Its description in RNAcentral is "partial 16S ribosomal RNA". It matches the Rfam family "Bacterial small subunit ribosomal RNA", at positions 28 to 259 of the family's 1533-position model. The record is from RNAcentral.
GACGAACGCUGGCGGCAGGCUUAACACAUGCAAGUCGAACGCCCCGCAAGGGGAGUGGCAGACGGGUGAGUAACGCGUGGGAAUCUACCUAGUUCUACGGAACAACACAGGGAAACUUGUGCUAAUACCGUAUACGCCCUACGGGGAAAGAUUUAUCGGAAUUAGAUGAGCCCGCGUAAGACUAGCUAGUUGGUGAGGUA